RNAcentral lists this long non-coding RNA (3363 nucleotides) under Homo sapiens (human). Its description in RNAcentral is "HSALNT0272379". Lineage: Eukaryota; Metazoa; Chordata; Mammalia; Primates; Hominidae. The record is from RNAcentral.
CUUAUAUUUUCACGCUGCAUUUUUAUUUUAUUAUUCUUUUAUUUGAUUAUACCUUUUAUUUUAAUGUAAAUUAUUAUCCUAUAAGUGGUUCUCCAUUCUAGCUAUGUCUGAAAUGCAGAAAUAUGUAUCAUUGUUGCGAUGUCAAAUUGAUUUUAUAAUUGUUUUGCUUAAUUCUUUGUAGCUUAAAGAGCUUCUUGUUAGUCUACUACUCUGCAUUCAGUUGAAUUGAAAUUAACACAGUUCUGUAGUUAAAAUUAUUCAAACAAUUAUAUCUGUUUGUUGUUAAUUAUAUGGAUACAAAGAGGUCCAUAUGUCAUUUUUAGCUUUAAGGUUCCAAUCAAGAAAGAGCAAGAUGUAUGACUACUUAAGAUGAAGGACAUACUAUUGUUAAUGAAUAAACAUGAAAGGAUAACUUGUUUUCCAAGUAUUGAUAUCUACAUUUUAUAAAGCCAACCCAGGUAGAUGGGUAUUGUUACAUAUGUCUAAUUAUAUUAUCAAAGCUGCUGAGUUCACUCAUUUAAAAAAUUAUGAACACUCAGAGUGUUCCUGCUAUGACUAAUUUCUACUUUGUUUAAAUAGAAUAAAACUUAGGUAAGUGAGAAACAUGAGAAUUAUCCUCAUUACUUUCUAUCUCUUACCACUCAAAUCUAAAUGAUCCCUAAGUUAGGUCUGCUUUAGAAUGUGUCAAACAUAUAUAUGACUUGCACAGGAAGUAGAAUAUUAUCUUCUUUCAAUUCAUCAUAAAACAUAUGAAAGUAUUCCUCCACAAUCCUUGCAUCUCUAAGGUACCCUCUAUCCCAUCCUACAUCUAUUCUUAACAAUUUUUAAAAUGCAAACUUAAUUAGUUCCCUUUCUUGCCCUCAAGACAUAAUAAUUUCUCUCAAGAAGAUCCUUUAUCACACUAGAUUUUAAUUACCUGUCUGUCUACUCCAUUAUAUUUGCAGUUAAAGUGUCUACUUUCUUGCUGGUCCUUUAUACCUUUGGAGUCAGCACACUGGCUUCCAUAUCUUAGAUCUCAAUAAACAGUUUUGAAUUACUGAGUGUACUGAUUGCCUUGAAAUUGCAGAUGGCUUUAGUAAACCACUUUGUGUUUGUGUGUGUAGAUUACAGCAAAGCUUUCUGCUUUCCUUUCUUGCUCUGAUACCCUCAAAAUUAUACUCUGUUCCUGGGAUUCCAGAGUCUUCUGCCACAACCAAGGCUUCCGAGGCGAUCCGGCAACAUCAGUCUUCAGCCGCUAAGCCAAGAAGAUCUGGGAAGGAGUCAAUCAGAGAGCCUUGGGCCAGAGUUCCAGGGGCUGUGGAAGUGGCUGCCAGGUGAGUUGAACAGUCCGAUUUUCAGUGGGGUCCUACACAGAUGGGACACAGCUUAGGAGGAAUCCUGGGCUGUGGGCAUUCCUUGGCCUAGUGGCCAGAUUUCUGGCACUUGUAGCAAGCUCCUGGGGGAGGAGGUUCUGGAGGAACCCCUGGCAGCUGCGGUUUGGGCGUUUGGAGUUCUUGUGUGCUGGAGAUGUGGCUGGGGUUUGUCUCACAGUGGAGGCAAGAAAUUGCAACUCAGAAAUACAUUGCUACUUGGCUGCCUCUACUCUAUUAUUGUAUAACUUGAAGGUGAGGUUAAUUAAGUCCUGUUGUGAGGUUUGAGGGCCGGAAUUUAAUUUUUGGAGUUUUAUUUAAUGUCAGGAGCGGAUUGGGUAAUAAAAUGUAUAUUGAGAAUAAGACGGCCUUUUGACAUUUUAGGGUCUUGGGCUGUAAAGCGUCUCAGGGUUGCUGCCGAACGAGCCAUGAACUGGGCUGGGUUUUUCAUAUUUGAUGAAAGAGCCUAAAUGCUAACUGAUUUGGGAGAGGUCGGAUAAAGAAAAAGAAGCAUUAACCUUGACUAUGCCUUUAGCUCCAGCCUCCUUUUUAAGAGGAAAUUGCUGGUCAGGUGGAGGAGGGCUAGUCGCGUCGCGGAACGAAACUAUAAGCCGGACUGGGUGUGAGGAGGGGAGGUGAUAAAAGGAUUAUAGGGUGGGGGAGCAGAGGCUGAGGAAGAAUUGGGACCUGGCUUGACCUGGCUUGGCCUGGCGAGGAGCAGCCUGGGGAGGAGGAGAGAGGUCAGAUGGGUCUGUAGAAAAGGAAGAUUAGAAAGACUCAGCGACGCUUGGGGUUGGGACUGAGAGGACAGGCGGGAGGGAAAGAAGGAGGAUUUGGGAUGAGUCACAUUGGGAACAGAGAGUACGGAGAGAACAAUGUGUAAAAGAAUGCCUGGACGUCAGGCACCUCAGACCAUUUGCCCAUUUUACGACAAGAAUUAUCGAGAUCUUGUGGGAUGGAAAAAUCGAAAGUGCCGUUCUGUGGCUAUUUUAGAGCCUUUGUCAAGUUUGUAUUGGGGCCAAGCGGUGUUGCAGAAUAAAAUAAGAUGCUUAGAUUUUAGGUCAGGCGAGAGUUGAAGAGGUUUUAAGUUCUUAAGAACACAGGCUAAGAGAGAAGAAGGAGGAAUGGAGGGUGGAAGGUUGCCCAUAGUGAAGGAGGCAAGUUUAAAGAGAAGGGUAGAGACACGGAGAAGGGGGUGGGGAGCAGCCCUGGGCUGCAACGUGGGUGAGCAGCCAAAGCAGGCGUCCUUGCAAUUGACUUGCCACCAAGGGAACAUGGGCGAAUGAUCAAGGAAGGCACCCCUGCGGAGAUCAGACACCAGUGGAACGUGGGUGAAUAAUCCAAGAGGCAUCUCGGCGAUGAUUAAACACCAAGGUAAGGCUGUCUUCCCGAGUCCGUGACCGGCGCCGGAGUUUUGGGUCCACAGAUAAAAUGUGUCUCCUUUGUCUCUACCCGAAAAUGAAAGGAACUGAAAUUAACAGAAGGGAGAGAUUGAAGUGUGGCGCCAAGCUUGAAAGGAGAAAGAGGUUGAGGGAUAGUGAGGGAGGUUGGAGAAGAGAGUAAAAAGAGGCCGCUUACUGGAUUUGAAAUUGGUGAGAUGUUCCUUGGGCUGGUCAGUCUGAGGACCUGAGGUUGUAGGUGGAUCUUUCUCAUGGAGCAAAGAGUAGGACAGGGGAUUGAUCUCCCAAGGGAGGUCCCCUGAUCCCAGUCACGGCACCAAAUUUCACUCGCGUCCGUGUGAAGAGACCACCAAACAGGAUUUGUGUGAGCAACAAGGCUGUUUAUUUCACCUGGAUGCAGGCGGGCUGAGUCUGAAAAGAGAGUCAGUGAAGGGAGAUAGGGGUGGUGCCGUUUUAUAGGAUUUGGGUAGGUAAAGGAAAAUUAGUCAAAGGGGGUUGUUCUCUGGCUGGCAGGAGUGGGAGGUCACAAGGUGCUCAGUAGGGGAGCUUUUGAGCCAGGAUGAGCCAGGAGAAGGAAUUUCACAAGAUAAUGUCAUCAGUUAAGGCAGGAACAG